RNAcentral lists this ribosomal RNA (492 nucleotides) under uncultured bacterium. RNAcentral describes it as "partial 16S ribosomal RNA". It matches the Rfam family "Bacterial small subunit ribosomal RNA", at positions 29 to 507 of the family's 1533-position model. The record is from RNAcentral.
AGUGAACGCUGGCGGUAGGCCUAACACAUGCAAGUCGAACGGCAGCACAGUAAGAGCUUGCUCUUACGGGUGGCGAGUGGCGGACGGGUGAGGAAUACAUCGGAAUCUACUUUUUCGUGGGGGAUAACGUAGGGAAACUUACGCUAAUACCGCGUACGACCUACGGGUGAAAGCAGGGGAUCUUCGGACCUUGCGCGAUUGAAUGAGCCGAUGUCGGAUUAGCUAGUUGGCGGGGUAAAGGCCCACCAAGGCGACGAUCCGUAGCUGGUCUGAGAGGAUGAUCAGCCACACUGGAACUGAGACACGGUCCAGACUCCUACGGGAGGCAGCAGUGGGGAAUAUUGGACAAUGGGUGCAAGCCUGAUCCAGCCAUACCGCGUGGGUGAAGAAGGCCUUCGGGUUGUAAAGCCCUUUUGUUGGGAAAGAAAAGCAGCAGGUUAAUACCCCGCUGUUCUGACGGUACCCAAAGAAUAAGCACCGGCUAACUUCGUG